AUGAGACGGGAGUAUCUUGCCGAGCUACAGCGCCUCAAGGAACAAGAACCUGAUCCAGAGCUCACUCCGUUCAAUCCGAGGCCAUUCGGCGCCACCGGCCCGGAGGUUCUACCUUAUCCUUUCAAAGACGGCGUCGUCUCCAUUGGUCUCUUCCAUGGAGAGAUGAUGAUCUUCGCGUGCUCGGGAACAGCCGUACAAUGCCGGAACGGCAUGGUACGAGACUGCCACAGCGUAUUCGUGACCACGGUGAAUCUGGCGCUGGAGUUCGAGAGCAAGAGGAAAAGGGACGAUAACUUCAGCGUCAGAGUGCGUGUCCCUGACGGUGACAUCAUCUAUGGGUUCCUGGGACUGUUUGAUAGAACAACAAACGUUGCUGUUAUCACGGCCUUCAACUCAAGUUAUGUCUAUCAUGUGGAUACAUCUGUGCCUGUGGAUCUGCUCCAGGGCACGGGUACGCGUACUCUGGCCGCCGCCGGCCGUGCCUCCGGCGGCACUCUGAUGAGAUCGGAAUGCUCUAACGUUGUUUUCAGAGAUGGCAUUGUGUCCUGCCGUUGUGAUAUCACGGAGGCUGGCCUUGGAGGGCCAGUUAUGUUGCUUGAUGGUGAUGGAAAUGGACACUUUGCUGGAGUGAUAACUACGUUGUCAGCAGAUGGUUUCGCCUUCCUACCAACGGAGUCCCUUCAUGAAAGGCUGCAGCAUUUUCAGAUAACCAGUAAAGCCACCCAAUUCCGUGGGUAUUCCUUGCCUAAAGAUGUGGAGUGUGUCGUCCCUGCAGGAUUCAAACUAAGUUCUAAUACUCUAAAAUCUUGGGGCUAUCCCCUACCACCGCCGCUUGUGUUUGAGCUCAACGGGAGAAUAGUGUGUACCUUUGAAGAGCGGUUUGGUGAACUUCAUGCUUGGGAAGGGUAUCCUUUCAAUGUUAAGAAGCCUAUCUCCCAGUCUAUCUGGGAUCAACUCGGAAAAGAAGUUGUUCAGAGAGUAUCCAAGAGUGUUGUCUCAAUUGCUUCAUACAAGGGACGGAAUGACAAGGAUACGGUUAGGUUUUUUGCCUGCACAGGCCUGCUUAUAACUAGAGGGGGCGCGAGUUUGUCCUUACUUCGGCCAAUUUGGUUAGAACCAGUGAUGUUGAAGGGGACAUUGAUCUGA
This 1146-nucleotide ribosomal RNA is filed under the name Triticum aestivum (bread wheat). RNAcentral's name for it is "partial small subunit ribosomal RNA". The record is from RNAcentral. Lineage: Eukaryota; Viridiplantae; Streptophyta; Magnoliopsida; Poales; Poaceae.